RNAcentral lists this ribosomal RNA (493 nucleotides) under uncultured Synechococcus sp. RNAcentral's name for it is "bacterial SSU rRNA". It matches the Rfam family "Bacterial small subunit ribosomal RNA", at positions 1 to 546 of the family's 1533-position model. Lineage: Bacteria; Bacillati; Cyanobacteriota; Cyanophyceae; Synechococcales; Synechococcaceae. The record is from RNAcentral.
CCCUUAGAGUUUGAUCCUGGCUCAUGAUGAUCGCUGGCGGCGUGCUUAACUCAUGCAAGUCGAACGAACCUUCGGGUUAGUGGCGGACGGGUGAGUAACGCGUGAGAAUCUGCCCUCAGGAGGGGGACAACAGCUGGAAACGGCUGCUAAUACCCCAUAUGCCGCGAGGUGAAAUGAAUUUCGCCUGAGGAUGAGCUCGCGUCUGAUUAGCUAGUUGGUGUAGGUAAUGGCUCACCAAGGCAUCGAUCAGUAGCUGGUCUGAGAGGAUGAUCAGCCACACUGGGACUGAGACACGGCCCAGACUCCUACGGGAGGCAGCAGUGGGGAAUUUUCCGCAAUGGGCGAAAGCCUGACGGAGCAACGCCGCGUGAGGGAUGAAGGCCUCUGGGCUGAAACCUCUUUUAUCAAGGAAGAAGAUCUGACGGUACUUGAUGAAAAGCCACGGCUAAUUCCGUGCCAGCAGCCGCGGAAUACGGGAGUGGCAGCGUUAUCC